GUUUUUACCUGGUGAGAAGGUACCUGUGCACUUAUCCAUCUGUAACAGGUAAAUACAUAUUUUUAGUUUUUACUUUUUUUUUUGUCCAGUGACAAAAGAUGAGAACCUGAUGAUCAACUUCCACCAUUCAUUUCGCUCGUCUCUCACAUGUUGUUUCAGCAGAACAUAAGGAUACUGAACUAACAGGUUGGAUGGAGAGAACUCAUAACAAUGUUAUUCCUAUAACUGCAGCAAGCAGCAAAAUUAAG
RNAcentral lists this long non-coding RNA (248 nucleotides) under Ficedula albicollis (Collared flycatcher). Its description in RNAcentral is "lncRNA (ENSFALG00000023472.1)". The record is from RNAcentral. Lineage: Eukaryota; Metazoa; Chordata; Aves; Passeriformes; Muscicapidae.